RNAcentral lists this ribosomal RNA (384 nucleotides) under uncultured bacterium. Its description in RNAcentral is "bacterial SSU rRNA". It matches the Rfam family "Bacterial small subunit ribosomal RNA", at positions 495 to 879 of the family's 1533-position model. The record is from RNAcentral.
UAGUAUCAGCGUGUCAGCCGCCGCGGUAAUACGUAGGGUGCGAGCGUUAAUCGGAAUUACUGGGCGUAAAGCGUGCGCAGGCGGUUAUGUAAGACAGAUGUGAAAUCCCCGGGCUCAACCUGGGACCUGCAUUUGUGACUGCAUAGCUAGAGUACGGUAGAGGGGGAUGGAAUUCCGCGUGUAGCAGUGAAAUGCGUAGAUAUGCGGAGGAACACCGAUGGCGAAGGCAAUCCCCUGGACCUGUACUGACGCUCAUGCACGAAAGCGUGGGGAGCAAACAGGAUUAGAUACCCUGGUAGUCCACGCCCUAAACGAUGUCAACUGGUUGUUGGGUCUUCACUGACUCAGUAACGAAGCUAACGCGUGAAGUUGACCGCCUGGGGA